UUGUUCAGAAAGUGUGAAAAUACUGGAUAUCUGAACAAACAUGAUUAAGGAGUGCUUUCUCUUCAUGGAGAUCAUGUAUGAAGUUGGAUGCUCUUAAACUGAAUGAUUCAUAUUACUUCCAGAUUUGCAGGUGUUUUAUAUUGUUGCUUGCAGAUCAGACUAAUAUCUGUCUUCCUCUGUUCAUUACAACAGAAUCAGAUCAAGGUUCUGGUAAUUUAGUACCCGCAGUACCUGUGGCUGUCCUGCUGGUCCUGGCUGUUGGUGUUGGUGUGACCUAUUGGUGCUACAGGAAGAAUAAACCAAGAAAAAGGAAUGCAAGUAUUACACAUGAAAAAGUAAAGAUGAUGAUUUAAAUUUCAGAGAGGGACUGAUGCAGGAUGAGAAGAAUAGAUCAGAAGAAAUUUGAGGUUGGGUUUUAAAGACACAAUUUGGGCCCAGAGGGUGGAGCUCCUAUAAGUAAUAUUUACAAAUAGUUGUAUUUUCUAUACCUAUUGUUAUAUCUUUUUCAGUCAGUGUAUGGCUGGAAUAAAAAUAUUUAGCAUAAAUUAAAAUAAUGUAUAAUUAUAGAAUACAUCUCAAGAUUUUAUGUAUAAAAUACCAAUUUUCCCUGUUAACUAGUUGCUAAUUAACAUACUAGCAAGUUCUGACCAAUAUCUCUCUGAUCAGU
Molecule: long non-coding RNA, 667 nt
Organism: Carassius auratus (goldfish)
Lineage: Eukaryota; Metazoa; Chordata; Actinopteri; Cypriniformes; Cyprinidae
Exons: 2
Source: RefSeq, a predicted model, not a curated record